GGAAGUCGAAGGUUAAAAGUCCUUCCUAUUACUUACAA
Molecule: transfer RNA, 38 nt
Filed under: Chelon labrosus (thicklip grey mullet)
Lineage: Eukaryota; Metazoa; Chordata; Actinopteri; Mugiliformes; Mugilidae
Description: partial transfer RNA-Thr
Source: RNAcentral